Molecule: non-coding RNA, 5033 nt
Organism: Heterocephalus glaber (naked mole-rat)
Lineage: Eukaryota; Metazoa; Chordata; Mammalia; Rodentia; Bathyergidae
Source: RefSeq, a predicted model, not a curated record
CUGCGCCGCCGUGUCCGCGCGCGACGCCAGCGUCCGCGCCUGCUGCUCGGGCUCCAGGUACGACACGCAGAUGAAGUCCUGCGGGCGAAACGGGGCGCUUGUGGUCACGGACGCGCGCGGGGCCAGCCCGGCCCGGCAGGGAGUUGCUGGACCUCGGGGAUCGCAGGGGCGCUGGUGAAGCCGGAACUCGGGACACCUGCGCUCUCGGACUCACAUCUCCCUGCCCCCGGCCAGGACCCUUCCGGGAUUACAGCGGUGCUGACGUCACCGCCCCCUCCCCCGGGCACCGAGAGCACGAGUGCGGAGCUGCCCCCUGUUGGACGGAGUGGUAACAGCAAGCAGACACCAAGAAGGGCAGUCCUGCUCUGCCCAGGCCCUGGGGCUGGGGCCCCUGAGACACGUGAGCCAUGGAGAGUACAACAUGGCGUGGUCCAUAAUGUAAUGAGGAGGCAGAGGAGGGCACUACCCUCCUGUGGGGACGCGAGUGUGGCUGUCAGGAAGGCUUCUCGGGGCUGCUGGAGCAGAAGGGGAGAGAGACCAGCCUGGGUGGAGGCUGAGCAGCCAGGAGCUGAGCUCAGUGCUCCAGGAAGUGCAGUUAAUUCAUGCAUAUUCUUAAUCACUAAUGUUGCCUGAAGUCAUUGAAGCUUCAAGAUACUUUGAACUGCAAAAUUCACCUGUGGUCUUAAGGCUCCUGUUCAUCCUUCAUCGCUCAGCUGUGGUGCCACCUCCUCUGGGAAGCCCUCCGACUUCAUGGUGCUGGCUGGAAGCCAGCCACAGAAGACCACACAUUGCAUGACUCUCUUUAUAGAAAAUGUCCAGAAUAAGCAAAUCUAGAGAGACAGAAAGCAGCUUCCCUUGCAGCUAGGUCAACCAUAUAUCUAAGUUUUACUUAAUGAGACUCGAGGGAAAUACCACAUUCAACUUCCGGGUCACGUUCCUGAGGGGGAGGAACAUGUGGAUAAAGAAAAGCUCAAGCAUGGUGGAGCAAGAAGCUUUCCAGAGAACAUCGUGCCCUGUUUCGUGCCCUGCUGGCCACUCUCCGUUUCUGUAUCUGCAAACUGGGACCAGCAACAUCGGCUCUGAUGGCCUUUUGAGAGAAUAUGAUGAGAAAAAGAUUAUGAAGUUGAGGCAGCAGCUGUAAAGGGCUACAGAAAGAACUAUUACUGGAAUCCCUGCUGCUCCCCUGGAGGAAUCCCUGCUGAUCCCCAAGGCAGGAAUUUGGGGCCCAUCUCCUUGGUUCCCGCCAGAGGAUGUUCAGAUCCCACGUCUUCCCCAAUCACCUGCUGGCACCUGGCCUCUAUCUCUGCAUACACAGCCUGGCACGUGACAAGGGCACAGGAAGUAGUUCCAGAACCAUCAGUGGCUCCCCACUGCUACAGUCAAGGCCAGGCUUCCAGGAGUGUGCCCGGAGACCACUCACUGAUGAUUCACCCUGCCAGCUCCUGCCAAACCAUGCAGCCAGUGGCCUCCGAGCAGGUCACCUGUGUCCCUGCCCCUGGAGUCUGCCACACCCACCUGCCUGGCCAAUCCCUUCCUUACCUUCGCUGCAAUCUGACCUCACCCUCAGACAGCCGCAUUUGUGUGACACUUUAAAAGGCAAAGCAGAUUCUGUGAGCAUCAUAUCGAUGAAUUCUUACAGCGACUCUGGAGGUGAGUUCAGUCCACUGUGUUCUCUUAUGGAGGAGGGAAGUGAGAUUCAGAGAAGUUAAGCUACUUGCCCAAGGUCACAUGGCAAGAAUGUGAUGAGCUAGGACCUACUUGGAUCCACCUUUAACUCACCUGCAGUCCCAGGAAACGCACCUUCUGGCCUGCCUCCACCCGGCCUGCCCCAGUCCUGGUGCUCACUCUGCUCCCCAACUUCCACCUCAGGACCAUGCCUCCAUUACCCUCCCGGGUCACAUUUCACGGUGCUGAGUCUCUCUCGCCCUCUGUGGCCUUGAGGCCUGGGACACCUUCCCUAUCUUGCUGUCACCAACUCUUCUUUCUCCCAAAUCCUGCUCCAGCUCCUCAGUGACUGCACUGUUUCAGAGCCCGCCCCUUCCCUCACACUUCGAGCUCUGAGACGCAGAGAUGGGGCUGUGUGAGCUGUCCUGAGUCACUAGACCUCUCUGCGCCUCUGUCCCAUCUUUUUCAUGCCCUGGCACAAGGCUGGGAUGUAGGAUGCUGACUGGACUGAGCAGAGCCCCAUGCAUGUUCUCACUGGGCCCCAUCCUGUCUGCCUGGGCUCAGGGUCAUGGCCACAGAUGCUGGUUCUGCCGGUGUGCUGGGAGCAGCUUCUCAAAUGGCUCUCUGAAGGAAAAACAAAACGAAGGCUGACUUGCUGUGUUUGCCAGUGUCUGAGUUGUAACAGUUGGCUCUCCAGAACUGGUAGAGCAGCCAAUUUCAGUGCACUGAUGGCCUCAGAAGUAACAGGUCCGAUCACACUGCAGGGCAGCUGAGGCUCAGGGCUGCAAGUGUACAGCUAGUCGCUUGCAGAGCUGGGGCUAGAAACCUGGAUCUUCUCCUUCUGUAGGUAAGAAGCAUGCACAAGGCCCUGUGACCCGAUAGUGCUCACGGACCUAUGCAAGCAUCAGGCGUGGCUGAAGUGUGCUCUCUGUGUAGCAAGGGCUGCGUUCUUCUUCCAGGAAGCUGGGAGCCCUGGUUCCUGGCUCUGCCUGUGUACAGAGGGCCCCAGGCAGCGGCAUUGGGAUGCUGGCACAGCAGCAAAACAAAUUUCUGGAGAUCCGAACAUCUGUCUGGCAUGGAUCAGAGCUCACACCUGCCUGGCUCUGCAUCCCAAAGCCCUGCUGGCUGCAACCUCUGUUUCCUGGUGAUUUCUGCUUUCUUUUCUGCCAAGUUCCAUCUGCCUUGCCAUCUGUAGUAUGGGGAGCUGCUCACACUAAGCUGUACAGAGCAGUCAGGGGCCUUCAGAGAGGGAAAGCUCUGUUUCAGACAAGAAUGAGCCCAAGGGUGUUCUCUGGGAUCACGAAGACUGUGAGGAUCUGGAGGGCCCUAACUGCUGCCUGGUGAGUUGUACAAUUGAAGAUUGAAAAGUGAGUCUCACUUUUCCCACCUGAAAACUGGGAAUAACUGUUUUUAAGGCUGUUGUGAGCAUCAAAUGCACAGCUGAAAGGAAGUCUGGUCAUUCAGGAAGCAUUAUUUAAAGAGAGAUUAGCAAACUUUUUUCUGUGCCAGACCAGAUGAUAAAUAUCUUUAGUUUUCCAGGACAUUCGGUGUCUGCCGCCACCGUUCAGGGGUCCACUGUAACAUAGCAACCCUAGAUACUGUAUAUGGAUAGAUGCAACUAUGUUUCAAUAACAAUAAAUAUAUAAAAGCAGGUGGCAGGCCAGAGUUGGUGGGGGGGGGGCUAUGAUUUACAGACCCCCUGAUCUAGAAAAAGGAUUUAUCCUUUUUUAACUACCAUCGCCCCAGUUGUCCCCAUGGGCUCUUUCCGGGAGCAGGUGGCUGGUGCAGUGAUCCUGAGGCACACAAGGCUCACAACGGUGAUGUGCUUUGAUCUUUGCUCUCUGCCAUGACUGCUGCUGACAGCAGCUUGCUUUCUUCCUGAACACCCCACCAACCAGGUCUGAGGCCCUUAUAAUGGGCACCCGGGGUCCUGUCGCUGAAGAGUGGAAAAAUGAGUGUGUUUACUCAGAGAGGCCUUCCCUGAGGGCUGGGCCAGGAAGCACCUGGCUUCGACACCCAGACCCUUACCCUGCUUGCUUGAUUUGGGGACAUCUUAAAGACCGGGACUGGUCUUCCAGGGUUUUUCUGUUCACAUCUCUACUGUCAACAGAUGGUUUUGCAAUGUUGGAUGAAUUUAUUGAUGAAAGCAUAAGAGGGCAGAAGUUGAAACUUUCCAAUGCAGUGGAAUUUGAACUGGCCUUUCUCGGAGGGGCAGCUCACGCAUGUCAGCUUCUCUGGCUGGCCAGGGUGGGGGCGGCAGGACUGGAUGCCCAGUUCCUCUCCUGUUCCCUGAUGGCACCCUCAGGGCCACUCCCAGCUCUGUCCGGGCCUCUAGACAAUUCCCUCGAUCCAGUUUGAACAUUACCGGUUUAGGUUAGACUUCCAGCUGCUGGCUGAGUGACCGAGGGCCUGGGGAGAAGGACUGGUGGGCAGGUGGUGACCUCUACGCUCUGUGGGUGGGGUGAGCCAUGGAGCCAGCCCGCCUUCCUGCUGAGCUCCUGAGCCCGUGCUCGGUGGCUUGCCCUUUGCAGAGACACUGGUUAAGUCCAACUUCUGCCCUGAGCAACACUGCAUCUGCCUGGCAUCAUCCCAACUCCCAGGCUUCCUCUUCAGGGAGCUCAGCCCACUAUGGAGGCAGCCAGGCAGCUACAGCCUCCCAGACUGGCUCUGAGAAGCAUCAGGCUGCAGGGUGCAGAAACCAUGACUUAGGCCUGUCUUUUCUGAGGCCAUCUCUGACCGCUGGUGCCCCAUGGAGGAUGGCUGGGGAUGCAGGCCGGGGUUCCAGACCUGCUCUACCGCUCAGCUGCUCAGAGUGGCCCUGACCAUGCUGACUGCACUGCGACUCAGUUUCCUUGGAAAUAGGGAGCACAGUGACAUCCACCUGCCAUGGAGUGGUUGUUAGGGUGUAAGGAAAAGAUGGCGUGUGCUUAGCAUGCUGCCUGCUGGGUGCCCGGGCUGUGGGUGGUGUAAGACCUGAUCAUUAUGAAGGUCAGGAGGGCAACGUGUCCUAAGAACCUUAGUGCAUGACAUCGCAGAGGGGCUCAACUCCAGCUGUGCUGUGGGGUGGAAAGUGAGGUCUCUGUGUCACCAGGCGUCAAUGCCCGGGGCACCUAAAUUGCCUCUCUCCACAUGGAUCUCUACAUGACAAUUGGUAGCCCCCAAUUCAACUGAACUUACAUAAGUGAGAAAUAAACUUCUGAGUUAGAUAUAAUAGAGUUUAGAUGUUACAGCAGCCAGUAUUUCCUUAGUUAAUUAUCUAUCUAUCAUGUACCUACCUACCUAUGUAUCAUUUGAGACUAGAAAUUCUCCAAAACACUACCACUGAUCAAUUUUUCAGCAAUAAACACGAACAACCUUUGUCAUCACAA